AAAAAAGGUAAGCUACUAAGAGCGAAUGGUGGAUGCCUUGACUGGUAAAGGCGAUGAAGGACGUACUAGACUGCGAUAAGCUACGGGGAGCUGUCAAGAAGCUUUGAUCCGUAGAUUUCCGAAUGGGGCAACCCAAUGUAUAGAGAUAUACAUUACCUAUAUAGGAGCGAACGAGGGGAAUUGAAACAUCUUAGUACCCUCAGGAAAAGAAAUCAAUAGAGAUUGCGUCAGUAGCGGCGAGCGAAAGCGCAAGAGGGCAAACCCAGUGCUUGCACUGGGGGUUGUAGGACUGCAAUGUGCAAGAGGUGAGUUUAGCAGAACAUUCUGGAAAGUAUAGCCAUAGAGGGUGAUAGUCCCGUAUGCGAAAAACAAACCUUAGCUAGCAGUAUCCUGAGUAGGGCGGGACACGAGAAAUCCUGUCUGAAGCUGGGUCGACCACGAUCCAACCCUAAAUACUAAUACCAGAUCGAUAGUGCACAAGUACCGUGAGGGAAAGGUGAAAAGAACUGAGGUGAUCAGAGUGAAAUAGAACCUGAAACCAUUUGCUUACAAUCAUUCAGAGCCCUAUGUAGCAAUACAGGGUGAUGGACUGCCUUUUGCAUAAUGAGCCUGCGAGUUGUGGUGUCUGGCAAGGUUAAGCAAACGCGAAGCCGUAGCGAAAGCGAGUCUGAAUAGGGCGCUUAGUCAGAUGCUGCAGACCCGAAACGAAGUGAUCUAUCCAUGAGCAAGUUGAAGCUAGUGUAAGAACUAGUGGAGGACUGAACCCAUAGGCGUUGAAAAGCCCCGGGAUGACUUGUGGAUAGGGGUGAAAGGCCAAUCAAACUUCGUGAUAGCUGGUUCUCUCCGAAAUAUAUUUAGGUAUAGCGUUGUGUCGUAAUAUAAGGGGGUAGAGCACUGAAUGGGCUAGGGCAUACACCAAUGUACCAAACCCUAUCAAACUCCGAAUACCUUAUAUGUAAUCACAGCAGUCAGGCGGCGAGUGAUAAAAUCCGUCGUCAAGAGGGAAACAACCCAGACUACCAGCUAAGGUCCCUAAAUCUUACUUAAGUGGAAAACGAUGUGAAGUUACUUAAACAACCAGGAGGUUGGCUUAGAAGCAGCCAUCCUUUAAAGAAAGCGUAAUAGCUCACUGGUCUAGUGAUUUUGCGCGGAAAAUAUAACGGGGCUAAAGUAAGUACCGAAGCUGUAGACUUGAUUUUAUCAAGUGGUAGGAGAGCGUUCUAUUUGCGCCGAAGGUAUACCGGUAAGGAGUGCUGGAGCGAAUAGAAGUGAGCAUGCAGGCAUGAGUAGCGAUAAUUAAUGUGAGAAUCAUUAACGCCGUAAACCCAAGGUUUCCUACGCGAUGCUCGUCAUCGUAGGGUUAGUCGGGUCCUAAGUCGAGUCCGAAAGGGGUAGACGAUGGCAAAUUGGUUAAUAUUCCAAUACCAACAUUAGUGUGCGAUGGAAGGACGCUUAGGGCUAAGGGGGCUAGCGGAUGGAAGUGCUAGUCUAAGGUCGUAGGAGGUUAUACAGGCAAAUCCGUAUAACAAUACUCCGAGAACUGAAAGGCUUUUUGAAGUCUUCGGAUGGAUAGAAGAACCCCUGAUGCCGUCGAGCCAAGAAAAGUUUCUAAGUUUAGCUAAUGUUGCCCGUACCGUAAACCGACACAGGUGGGUGGGAUGAGUAUUCUAAGGCGCGUGGAAGAACUCUCUUUAAGGAACUCUGCAAAAUAGCACCGUAUCUUCGGUAUAAGGUGUGGUUCGCUUCGUAUUAGGAUUUACUCCGAAAGCGAAGAAACUUACAACAAAGAGUCCCUCCCGACUGUUUACCAAAAACACAGCACUCUGCUAACUCGUAAGAGGAUGUAUAGGGUGUGACGCCUGCCCGGUGCUCGAAGGUUAAUUGAUGGGGUUAGCAUUAGCGAAGCUCUUGAUCGAAGCCCGAGUAAACGGCGGCCGUAACUAUAACGGUCCUAAGGUAGCGAAAUUCCUUGUCGGUUAAAUACCGACCUGCAUGAAUGGCGUAACGAGAUGGGAGCUGUCUCAAAGAGGGAUCCAGUGAAAUUGUAGUGGAGGUGAAAAUUCCUCCUACCCGCGGCAAGACGGAGAGACCCCGUGGACCUUUACUACAGCUUGACACUGCUAUUUGGAUAAGAAUGUGCAGGAUAGGUGGGAGGCUUUGAGUAUAUGACGCCAGUUGUAUAUGAGCCAUUGUUGAGAUACCACUCUUUCUUAUUUGGGUAGCUAACCAGCUUGAGUUAUCCUCAAGUGGGACAAUGUCUGGUGGGUAGUUUGACUGGGGCGGUCGCCUCCCAAAUAAUAACGGAGGCUUACAAAGGUUGGCUCAGAACGGUUGGAAAUCGUUCGUAGAGUAUAAAGGUAUAAGCCAGCUUAACUGCAAGACAUACAAGUCAAGCAGAGACGAAAGUCGGUCUUAGUGAUCCGGUGGUUCUGUGUGGAAGGGCCAUCGCUCAAAGGAUAAAAGGUACCCCGGGGAUAACAGGCUGAUCUCCCCCAAGAGCUCACAUCGACGGGGAGGUUUGGCACCUCGAUGUCGGCUCAUCGCAUCCUGGGGCUGGAGCAGGUCCCAAGGGUAUGGCUGUUCGCCAUUUAAAGCGGUACGCGAGCUGGGUUCAGAACGUCGUGAGACAGUUCGGUCCCUAUCUGCCGUGGGCGUAAGAAGAUUGAAGAGAUUUGACCCUAGUACGAGAGGACCGGGUUGAACAAACCACUGGUGUAGCUGUUGUUCUGCCAAGAGCAUCGCAGCGUAGCUAAGUUUGGAAAGGAUAAACGCUGAAAGCAUCUAAGCGUGAAGCCAACUCUAAGAUGAAUCUUCUCUAAGCUCUCUAGAAGACUACUAGUUUGAUAGGCUGGGUGUGUAAUGGAUGAAAGUCCUUUAGCUGACCAGUACUAAUAGAGCGUUUGGCUUAUCUUUAAUAAAGCAU
RNAcentral lists this ribosomal RNA (2923 nucleotides) under Campylobacter coli. RNAcentral describes it as "23S ribosomal RNA". It matches the Rfam family "Bacterial large subunit ribosomal RNA". Lineage: Bacteria; Pseudomonadati; Campylobacterota; Epsilonproteobacteria; Campylobacterales; Campylobacteraceae. The record is from RNAcentral.